CCCUUAGAUGUUCUGGGCCGCACGCGCGCUACACUGACGAUGGCAACGAGUUUUUCCUUCGCCGAAAGGUGUGGGUAAUCUUUUGAAACAUCGUCGUGCUGGGGAUAGAUCAUUGCAAUUUUUGAUCUUGAACGAGGAAUUCCUAGUAAGCGCGAGUCAUCAGCUCGCGUUGAUUACGUCCCUGCCCUUUGUACACACCGUCCGCCGCUACUACCGAUUGAAUGGUUUAGUGAGGACUCCUGAUUGGCGCCGCCGCCCCGGCAACGGAGCAGCGGACUGCCGAAAAGUUGUUCAAACUUGAUCAUUUAGAGGAAGUAAAAGUCGUAACA
RNAcentral lists this ribosomal RNA (329 nucleotides) under uncultured eukaryote. Its description in RNAcentral is "partial 18S ribosomal RNA". It matches the Rfam family "Eukaryotic small subunit ribosomal RNA", at positions 1470 to 1796 of the family's 1831-position model. The record is from RNAcentral.